This is a long non-coding RNA of Dreissena polymorpha, 284 nucleotides long. RefSeq lists it as uncharacterized. Lineage: Eukaryota; Metazoa; Mollusca; Bivalvia; Myida; Dreissenidae. The transcript is spliced from 3 exons. The record is from RefSeq and is a predicted model, not a curated record.
AGAUUUGCGAGGUGACCAGUUUCCAGACAUUGGUUCGCUCCUGCUUGUGUACGCGAUUGGCCGAGACUAAAAAAACUGUAGUGUGCCACCUUAAGGUUUUAGUCGUUUGCUUGUAAGGCAAGAUAGUCCCUGGAGAAGAACUAAAAUACGUCAACAGCCUUGUCAGCGGAAAGACACUCCGUUGCAGUUACUGAAGAUUUGCGAGGUGACCAGUUUCCAGACAUUGGUUCGCUCCUGCUUGUGUACGCGAUUGGCCGAGACUAAAAAACUGUAGUGUGCCACCU